RNAcentral lists this ribosomal RNA (500 nucleotides) under uncultured bacterium. RNAcentral describes it as "bacterial SSU rRNA". It matches the Rfam family "Bacterial small subunit ribosomal RNA", at positions 8 to 518 of the family's 1533-position model. The record is from RNAcentral.
AGAGUUUGAUCCUGGCUCAGGACGAACGCUAGCGGCGUGCCUAAGGUAUGCAAGUCGAGCGGGAGCCUUCGGGCUCCAGCGGCAAACGGUUGAGUAACACGUAGACAACCUGCCCGUAAGACGGGGAUAACUCGGGGAAACUCGGGCUAAUACCGGAUGUGGAAGGAAGGGGCAUCCCUGCUUUUCUAAACGAGGGCGAAAGCCUUCGGCUUACGGAUGGGUCUGCGGCCUAUCAGCUAGCUGGUGGGGUAACGGCCUACCAGGGCGACGACGGGUAGCUGGUCUGAGAGGAUGACCAGCCAGACGGGGACUGAGACACGGCCCCGACUCCUUCGGGAGGCAGCAAUGAGGAAUAUUGCGCAAUGGGGGAAACCCUGACGCAGCGACGCCGCGUGGGUGAUGAAGUCCUUCGGGAUGUAAAGCCCUUUUGCUGGGGAAGACGGCGCAAGCCAGACGGUACCCAGCGAAUAAGCCCCGGCUAACUACGUGCCAGCAGCCGC